This 861-nucleotide ribosomal RNA is filed under the name Psychrobacter sp. 27F07-MB1-1b. RNAcentral's name for it is "bacterial SSU rRNA". It matches the Rfam family "Bacterial small subunit ribosomal RNA", at positions 584 to 1444 of the family's 1533-position model. The record is from RNAcentral. Lineage: Bacteria; Pseudomonadati; Pseudomonadota; Gammaproteobacteria; Moraxellales; Moraxellaceae.
UAAGUCAGAUGUGAAAUCCCCGGGCUUAACCUGGGAACUGCAUCUGAAACUGUAGAGCUAGAGUAUGUGAGAGGAAGGUAGAAUUCCAGGUGUAGCGGUGAAAUGCGUAGAGAUCUGGAGGAAUACCGAUGGCGAAGGCAGCCUUCUGGCAUAAUACUGACACUGAGGCUCGAAAGCGUGGGUAGCAAACAGGAUUAGAUACCCUGGUAGUCCACGCCGUAAACGAUGUCUACUAGUCGUUGGGUCCCUUGAGGACUUAGUGACGCAGCUAACGCAAUAAGUAGACCGCCUGGGGAGUACGGCCGCAAGGUUAAAACUCAAAUGAAUUGACGGGGGCCCGCACAAGCGGUGGAGCAUGUGGUUUAAUUCGAUGCAACGCGAAGAACCUUACCUGGUCUUGACAUAUCUAGAAUCCUGCAGAGAUGCGGGAGUGCCUUCGGGAAUUAGAAUACAGGUGCUGCAUGGCUGUCGUCAGCUCGUGUCGUGAGAUGUUGGGUUAAGUCCCGCAACGAGCGCAACCCUUGUCCUUAGUUACCAGCGGGUUAAGCCGGGAACUCUAAGGAUACUGCCAGUGACAAACUGGAGGAAGGCGGGGACGACGUCAAGUCAUCAUGGCCCUUACGACCAGGGCUACACACGUGCUACAAUGGUAGGUACAGAGGGCAGCUACACAGCGAUGUGAUGCGAAUCUCAAAAAGCCUAUCGUAGUCCAGAUUGGAGUCUGCAACUCGACUCCAUGAAGUAGGAAUCGCUAGUAAUCGCGGAUCAGAAUGCCGCGGUGAAUACGUUCCCGGGCCUUGUACACACCGCCCGUCACACCAUGGGAGUUGAUUGCACCAGAAGUGGAUAGCUUAACCUUCG